GGGGAUGACAGGCAUCGACGAGGAAUUUGCACUUUUAAAAAUGGUUAGGGCGGAUCUAUUCGUUAAAUAGAAAAAAAUUAACUGAUAAGCAAACAGCUUUGUCAGAUAGUGAUAUAUCAUUCUUAAACGGAAUGAUUGGUAAACAACCAGCCUUGGCUUAUAGUCAAGCUAUGUUUGCCUAACUAUCAUUUUUUUAGUUUUUCUCGGUUCAACUAAAAAAAAGUUAACCAAUCGAGAUAAGGUUCUCUCUCGUUACCAAUUGGGUUGAGAAUCGAUAACCAUCAAUUGGCUUCCCGAUGAUUUUUGACUAUUUUUGUAGUCGGGAAAGAGUCAAAAAUAUUCUAUCCCUAACUAAACUUUUUUAGAAGUGUUUCCCCGGACCCGGGUCCAAUUCCCGGCAUCUCCACAC
This 409-nucleotide transfer-messenger RNA is filed under the name bacterium. It matches the Rfam family "transfer-messenger RNA". From Rfam's summary of the family: Bacterial tmRNA, also known as 10Sa RNA or SsrA, is named for its dual tRNA and mRNA-like properties. Its role is to liberate the mRNA from a stalled ribosome. The record is from RNAcentral.